RNAcentral lists this long non-coding RNA (1225 nucleotides) under Gopherus agassizii (Agassiz's desert tortoise). RNAcentral describes it as "lncRNA (ENSGAGG00000015653.1)". The record is from RNAcentral. Lineage: Eukaryota; Metazoa; Chordata; Testudines; Testudinidae.
CGUUAACUGUGAUUAAUUGAUAAUCCUAAUAUAUAUGAGUAAAUGAAACUAUUAAUUCACACUAUUGUGAUUCUUUCAGGUAAUGUUGAUCACUAAGUUGGUUGCUGAACUUCUGAGGUCUGAAUAUCACUGCGGAAGAUUGACCAUUUACUAAUGGACCCUAUGUUAAUUAAAGAGAGAGUUCAAAAGCAUAUAUAUUUUCCUGUCCAGUUAAUUAAUUGAUUUGGAAUAAGAUUUAUGUGGUUAAGGGGGUUUUAUAAUUACAUGUUACACAGAGUGGAAAAUGGAACAAUUUAAUAGACUACGGCUGUGAUACUGCCAAGUGCUGAGCACCUCCAGGGAAGGACUUAAGCAGUCUGAUCUCCCAAUGAGCCAACUUCUCUCUGCUGCUGACAGUCUGCAGAUCUUAAGUUCCCAGUUGCAGUUGCUCAGCAUCGCUCAUAUUUGGCCUACUGAAUUGAGGGUUCUCAGCAUCACACGGGAGUGGGUCCUAAGUUACUUCAGAAAGGAUUUUGUCAAGGUAACGGCAUUUAUUUUUCACUACAGAGCUGCUUUCGCACAAGCAGUUUUGUAUGCCUUUAAAGGUCCAAAUCCCUGAAUCUUCAUUCGAAGAUGAACAUCUGAACCCAUUCUGAAGAGACCAGGGGAGGCAGAACAUUAGCCUGGGAGUCCGUUUCUUUUUCAGAUAUUCAUCAAAAUCACAAAACCCUUAUGUAAGAACCUCGUUCUUCAGGCCUCAUGCCCACAGAGGAACUUCCACUGUAGUAUCUACCUACCCGGACUGGAUGUGUUAUCAACAGAUCUUAAAGCACGUUACAAGGUGGAGAAGAAUCACUUGUCCAAAGGCAAUAGUAGAUCAGUCCAAACGAGCAACAUGUGGCAAAGGUAACAAAGCCAGGAUUAGAACUCAUUUUGCCUGGCACCUAGACUUCUGCUUCUGUACCAAGCCAUCUUUGAAGAUAGAGUUGAGUGAGGACGCAUGAUAUAUAUAUAUAUAGCUUGAUACUAUAAUUCUGUUUGUUCCUUCUCUUUUAUUAGUAGAGAUGGUUGUGUGAAAACAGGAUCUUUGUUUCUUAGAAGUUCAUCAGCUCCUGCUGCUGAUUGUCCCCUAGAAAUCUGAUUCGAAAUCCUCAGUGUGGGGACAUCAUUUCCACAGCAACUAGUGAAGAAGCCCAGACCCCUCUGGGAAGGAAUAAACUGCAAGAACCGAUGAAGCUCCUGAGCA